CCUACGGGUGGCAGCAGUGAGGAAUAUUGGUCAAUGGGCGAGAGCCUGAACCAGCCAAGUCGCGUGAGGGAGUACUGCCCUAUGGGUUGUAAACCUCUUUUGUCGGGGAGCAAAAGCCGGACGUGUCCGGCUGUGGGAGUACCCGAAGAAAAAGCAUCGGCUAACUCCGUGCCAGCCGCCGCGGUAAUACGGAGGAUGCGAGCGUUAUCCGGAUUUAUUGGGUUAAAAGGGUGCGCAGGCGGAUUUUUUAGUCAGCGGUAAAAUCGUGGGGGCCAACCCCAUCCAGUCGUUGAAACUGGGGAUCUAGAGUGUGCGAAGGGUAGGCGGAAUGCGUGGUGUAGCGGUGAAAUGCAUAGAUAUCACGCAGAACCCCGAUUGCGAAGGCAGUAUACCGGUGCACAACUGACGCUCAUGCACGAAAGCGUGGGUAUCGAACAGGAUUAGAUACCCGUGUAGUC
RNAcentral lists this ribosomal RNA (458 nucleotides) under uncultured bacterium. RNAcentral's name for it is "partial 16S ribosomal RNA". It matches the Rfam family "Bacterial small subunit ribosomal RNA", at positions 338 to 795 of the family's 1533-position model. The record is from RNAcentral.